RNAcentral lists this ribosomal RNA (433 nucleotides) under uncultured bacterium. RNAcentral's name for it is "partial 16S ribosomal RNA". It matches the Rfam family "Bacterial small subunit ribosomal RNA", at positions 29 to 507 of the family's 1533-position model. The record is from RNAcentral.
AACGAACGCUGGCGGCAUGCCUAACACAUGCAAGUCGAACGAGACCUUCGGGUCUAGUGGCGCACGGGUGCGUAACGCGUGGGAACCUGCCCUUAGGUUCGGAAUAACUCCCCGAAAGGGGUGCUAAUACCGGAUAAUGUCUUCGGACCAAAGAUUUAUCGCCUUUGGGUGGGCCCGCGUUGGAUUAGCCAGUUGGUAGGGUAAAAGCCUACCAAGGCGACGAUCCAUAGCUGGUCUGAGAGGAUGAUCAGCCACACUGGGACUGAGACACGGCCCAGACUGCUACGGGAGGCAGCAGUGGGGAAUAUUGGACAAUGGGCGAAAGCCUGAUCCAGCAAUGCCGCGUGAGUGAUGAAGGCCUUAGGGUUGUAAAGCUCUUUUACCCGGGAUGAUAAUGACAGUACCGGGAGAAUAAGCUCCGGCUAACUCCGUG